Molecule: non-coding RNA, 173 nt
Organism: Hydrogenophaga sp. T4
Lineage: Bacteria; Pseudomonadati; Pseudomonadota; Betaproteobacteria; Burkholderiales; Comamonadaceae
Source: Rfam
UCACCCGUCAUUGGGGAGUAGCCGCUCUGCACCAUGCAGAGGUCCGCGUCAACACACUUGGCCCCCAUGGCCAUGGCGCCGACAGCUUCAAGCCUGGCAAGACCUUUGACCGCACAGCCGCCGGAAGGGCCGGGGCUGCUGUGCGGUCUUUUGGUUUUUCCGGCCCCUGGAGC